This is a long non-coding RNA of Clupea harengus (Atlantic herring), 8689 nucleotides long. The record is from Ensembl. Lineage: Eukaryota; Metazoa; Chordata; Actinopteri; Clupeiformes; Clupeidae.
CAAUAACAACAAUAAAAACAAUAAAUUGUGUAUCUAUGUAUUUCAAAUUGCUCAAUCUUUCAGUAGAAAUGUAAAUGUUAUGUCCUUAAUGUUAGAUCUUAUUUUGAGAAGUGUGCUUAUAGUAGACGCUGGACAAAAGGAAAGUUAGUCAUGCAGAAGGUGUGUGGCUUUGAAUAAGAUUUGCUUGGUGUUGCCAAGACCUCCCGAAGAAACGACCCUCCUCCUUAUUGUGUGUGAAGUGUUCCUUUUGUGUGAAUUUACGGGGUGAGGCUUCAAUGAUCCCCCACAAAUUUGCAUUUAAAUAGCGACAUCAACCGAUUCGCGUGCCACACACCAGUGGGUUUCCCAGAUGUCAAGGCAAAGUCAGUCAGAUGGCCAUUGCCCAGCUGUCCUCUGCACAUCAUACCAGCGCAUAGAGCAAGCUUAAAUAUACACCGAUUUCCUAUGUGCAGCUCUUGUCGGCCAAAGCGGCAAGUCUGUAAUGUUAGAUGCGAGCCCAAGACGCGACCGCUGCUUACACAUAGGAAGAGAUGAGAAGCGCGUUGAGCCAACGUGCUACAGUGAUGGGAGCUCCAACAGUACGAUAACAGCAGAAUCGUUGUAACGUUGAUGGCGGAAAGUCUAUUCCACACAGCUGGAAGAAAGUUUUACAGUUCCUUGGAAAUUGAACUGAUUGAAAAGUGUCAUGCUGUCGCAUUAAAUAGACAUUAAUUCAUAGCAAGAUGCAUCCUCAUCUGUGACCAAGAGUCACAUUCAACACUGGUUAGUCCCAUCAGUCGAUAGAGGACUUAAUUCCAAUACAAUUUUAAACUGUUGGCCAUGUGCAGGUCAACAACGCUGAGUUUUCGCUUUUGAUAAUACUGGACACAUUUAGUAAAUUCUGUGGCUUUGUGCGUGUCCAGACGUGGACUGCUGUUUGCUGAACAUCAAAUAUUUGAAACAUUUAGCGUCAACAUAAACAUCUAAGCAUUAAUUUGUCACGUCAAACUAUUUAUCGAGAUACCUUGGUUUCUAAUUAAAUAAAUAUUUUUAGAUUACGUCUUUUUCUGUGACCUUCUCCUAAAGCCACUGGUUUAUAAAUACUGGAACUUGUCAUUAGGAUAUUUGCUAGGCGUAGUGUAGUGAGUGUGUUUCUGUUUCUGUGAGCGUGCGUGUGUGUGAAUGUGUUUGUGUUUGUGUGUGUGUGUGUGUGUGUUGGGGGGCCCACCACAAUGAACAUCAUCAGAUAUCAAAACUCACAUUGCACACUUGCGCCAAGCGAAUGGGACAGUGAAGUUAUUCCACGACAGAUAUGGUAUUUAUUGCGAGAAGUAUUUACUUCAUGAUUAACCCACUACUUCCAAAACAUGGCAAAUGUGAAAGUGGGCUAUUAUAUUCUUAAACAUUUUAGUGAUGACAAGUAGUCUCAAAAUCUAAAAAAAAAAAAACAUUUUUGUAGAUGACCGGUUCGGUUUUCCAAUGCAAUACAAUGGUAAUCAAGUUAGCAUGAUGCAUUUAAACAAAGUCUUUCUUUUGAAAUUAUAAUUCUAUACACAGUUUUUAAGUUUAUAUUAGCCUAUCCCUAAUAUACAUACAGCUAUGCAAAGGCAGGAGUUCCAUGGUAAGCCUAUGUCUUAAUUUAAAAUAAUUCAAGAAUGGGCAAAUUCUAAUAUACAAACAACAAAAGAGAGAGAAAGUACGCUGUUCAAAUGACUGAAAGUACAUGGAAGUACAAAUGACUUGGUUUCAAAGGCAGCACAAAGCCUGGUUCAUUCUCAACUUACGGUCAGAACAUUUUCUAACCGAAAUUUGAUAAAGAGCGCCUCCUUUUGGCAAAGUUGAUCAAUGUCCUGAAUCCGAGAUCUAUUUACUUGUCACUUCUGAAGCAUCAUCAUAUUCAAUGAAGUAUCGCUACCAUACUUUAUUUUAUUCGCUGGACUCUUCUCUUUUACGGAAACUGCUAUGUAGGACUAGAGAAUAGCCUAUAGACUGGGUCCAUAACCUAAGUGCUGGAUGAAAAAUAAGUGGUGUUGUCGUCAUAAGCGUAUUUCAGUGUAGAUAAAAACCUCGUUUUAUGAGUUUUUCCUCUUUCUGAUCCACUCUUCACAAGAUAAAAGAAAAUGUCAGCUAUGUAAAGCAUAUCUGAGAAGAUUUUAAAACACUUUGUCAUUUAUUGUUUGCAUGGCUGAGAAUGACUCACUUCGUUUUAUUUUUUAAGCAACACAUUUACAAACUGGACCCGCAGAAUGAUUUGCGCUGACACAUGUUGAUAAGGCGACAGAGAAAUAAUUCAUUCCAAAAAGUUUGCCACCCAGAUUUUUAAAAUGAAGUAAAACUAAUGUAGCUUAUGCUAUGAUGCAUAACUGCGAAUGAAAAAAAAAGAACUGGGGCACCUUCACUGUAGAAACAGUCUUCGAUUAGGUCAUUUUAGAUAUUGUAAUUGGCUUUAAUUAAACAUGUAUCGUUCUAAUUAACUCUGAAAUUUCAGCAACCUCUGGGACGCUGGUGUCAGCUUUGAUAUCGUCAGUCCAGAUGUCCUAAUACAAUCCAGUCUUCAAUUAAAAGUUUCAAUAUUCUAUAUCAAAACUUGAAAAGCUGAAACAGAUUUCGAAAUCACGUGAAAUAUGUGUACACUUUCCAGUGUACGCAGUUCUUAGAUUCCGUCGUGUAAAUAUGCGUGUUUGAGUGUCAUUGCGCAUCCAAAUGUAUACAAAUUGGAUAAUUAGAUUAAAAUGAAAUGAAAUUAUUAUUAUUAUUGUUAUUAUCAUUGUUAUUAUUAUUGUCAUUGUCAGUGUUGUCGUUAUUCAACCCUGCAGAAUUAUCUUGCGCCUUCCGCACUGGUCUGUGCACACAUCCUGCAUUUAUUUUUGUUGGAGGACUGUAAAACACGUGAAAAUGGUAAAUUAUGUCAAGGGCUCAGUUGCCAUAUAAUUAGCAUUUUCAUUCUGAUCCUAAAAUGAGGAGGGAGAAGCUGUGCGGUUUGGGGCGCCUUCAGCGUGGCCCGAGGCAAUACCGAUAUAAAGAAGGAGAAAAAACUGAAUAAAGAAACCGAGACCUAUUCUAGACAAUUAACAUGUAAAAUAUCCAGUGGAAAUCGAGUCUGAAAAUAAAUGUAGUUGGGUCAGCUCCACCUCACGUAGCCUAAGUGAUAAAUGAGGUCCACAGAUUAAAAAGUUUACCUCAAUUAAAGGUUUGAGGUUGGCUGCAGUUGUACGUGGGCAUCUUGAAGCGAAAGUGCGCGUUAUGUGCAAACCGGUAAUUUUUAGACUAACAUUUCACAAUCAUGUAGGCAUGAUAGGUUUUAUUUUUCCCGUGCUUAGAAUAAUAGCAUCAGAGUUAUGGAUUCAAAUGAUAAGAUCUGGAGCAUAGCAAUUGGGACAGAGAGGAAAACCAGAUUCCUCUCUACAGAUUCGUUGUAACCCUCAGUCACUUGCCCGUGGGUUAAGCCAUUGCCGGGUUCUCUGGCGUGAAACUCCAUUUUAUGGUACUAGUGCCCCACCUACCGGCAUCUGGAGUAAGACCUUUCUUGAAGAGAGCGAUAUAAGCUCUUUGAGGAAAUACUGGUCAAAAACAGGCAUAAGGAUUUACCGCGAGGAUUUACACGUGAAAAAAAAAUAUAUUUUUAAAGCACGCAUAUACUAAUCUCGGGUGAUUUACAACGUAGGCCAGCAAACGGUGCUAGACUGGUGAAGAACCUAUCUAUUCAUCAAUAUUACAUUUGAUUGCGAAGACCCCAAAUGAUUAUGAUUAUGAUGCAAAGCAUUGUCGGAUGGAACUUGUAGCCUUAACACGGUAAUUAACCAGGCUUAUUGCAAAUAAACUAUAACCUAAAUAUCUAUUUAAAUGCACACUAACUACUUAAGGCACUAGGUUCUUUGUCUGUAGCCUACACAAUUCCAAUUGGCGUUGCAGAUGGAAGAUCAUACAUGUGGGACUGGUCAGGCUCUGAGAGCAAGGGAUGAUAAUAUGAAGAUAUUAAUUUAACCAACUUUUCUGACAGGUCAUGACCAUGAUUAGAAUUAAAGGAAAUAACAAUCAGACUAUUAAAUAUAAUGUCUGGUAACUAGUCAACUUGUUUCCCAUAUUCAUUUGAAUGACAUCCGAUAUGGAAUAUGUCUAGAAGUUUUGAUUACACCAUUUUGCUCAUGUGCUAAGAGUGCACUCUCAUUAUUGCCUUAACUCUUUCUCCAUGUGUAAAUCACAUAUAUAUUUUUACUGUACAAAUAAAAUCUACAAUGAUAAAACUAUUUGAAAUACAUCAUGUUAUUCAUAUUAGUUUAAUAUGAGGCCUAUACCGUUUCUGAUGUGUGAGAUGCACUUUCCCAGGAACACAAUUGUUCAUCCUACCCGAAAGAGAAAAUGAAAAGCCAAUCUGAAAUGAUCACAUACCUUUAUUUGUUGUCCACCUUCAGCUAAAUUAAAUUUCGUAGCCUCCAGCCUUGUGCGAGGUCAAGAGGACAAAGGUUAGGCACAGAUAGUUUUGCAGGUGUUUCUGUCCCUGUGGUUUUGACGUUGGGUUUUGAAAACAAAAAUCACUUAGAGACUAGUAUUAUAUUGUCAAAAUGGCACAUAAUAGAGAGUUUAUCAGUGGAUUGACAACUAGGACUCUUCUCUCUUAUGACAGUUCAUUUAGGGGAAUUUACUUAAUUCUUUUUUGUCAGUUUAUUUUUUAGGCUACCAGUGAAUAAUUCACAAAAGUCAUAAUAAAUCAUUAGAAUCUCUGGAAAUGUAUGACAUUCUGUCAGACAGAUUUGCUCGCAUUGAAAGGUUUUCUCCAAAAAAUCUUCAUAACUUCAUAACAUUCGUUGGAGAAGGCAUAGGGGUGCUGACGGAGGGAGCACUGGGGCUGGGGGAAGAGUGGAGCCCAGCUAAGAGACCGCCCAUGGGCCUCACUCUCAUGCCCAUACCUGCAGUGGCAGCCCACCCAAGUAGGACAUGAAGCCCUGUAAAAAAACAUCAGUGAAGACUGAACCUUUUCACUGAGCAUUCGGUGGGACCAAAGACAGUGUUACUAAGACUUGGGUUGCUGACAUUGCAUUGCAUCGGGCAUCAAAUCCAAAACAGCCAGACUGCAGACUGUUGACAGGCUGCAGACUUUCAGAGCCUUGCCAUGACCUGAAUGUGAUCGUGCACUCAUAGACCAGCAAGGAAACUCAGCAGCGUGGGUAGAUGUUUUGUGGGAGUGGAGUACAAUGUUUUGUUCGAGUAAUUAUUGUGUUUGAGGAAAUAGCCACAUCCAAUAGCACACCAGCAUAUGAUGUAUUCAUUCCACUUUGUGCUUAGACAACUCAGGGGUUGAGAUUGUUGAAAAAAUGGUUUGUGGCGUCAGAGCCCGGAGAGCAUAGGGCGUCAGUAGUGGCAAGUCAUGCAGAUGUGUGAAGCUCCUUCAUUAUCAGAGGGGAGAGAGAGGGCUUUGCUGUGAAAACACCAAAAUAAUGGCAACUCGCUGUUGUUCACAGAAAUGGCAAAUGUCUUGAGAUAUUUGAAGGUGGCGGGGAGGUCGAAAAAGUGUAAACACAUUUUAAAUUUAUAGCAGUAGAUUCAUACAUGAGGGGUUAACACCAUCUAUUCGUCUUUUUCACUGUGUGUGUGUGUGUCAGUCUGUGUGUGUGUGUGUCUGUGGCAGUGUGUGUGUGUGUGUGUGUCUGUGACGGUGUGUGUGAUACUGCCAGUGGCAAGUUUUUGUGAAGAGCUGUGAUACUUGAUUGACAUAUGGUUCAGGUAUGAUACCCCAUUCAUCAAUGUGUUACUUUAAGGACGUGAUUAUUGUGAACAAAGCACAGUGACUUUCCUCAACCACACUAUAGCGUAGGGUGUUGGUGGGUUGCAUAAUAAACCACACAGAACGUAUUUUUCAUAAAAUUGUGGUGAUAUAAGGAGACUACAAUGGUAAUUGCUAAAUAAAUGUGUGUAUAUGUCUGGAAUUGAACUUAAGUUUCAGUCGAAGAAAUUAUUUCUUUACUUUUGUUGUUUGUUGACUUGACAAGAAAGGUUAAACACACAUUCAGUUGAUUUACAAGAUGGAGUUUGGAACCGGUUUUCAGGGGAAGUUGUAUCCAUGUAUUUCCACAAUAUAAUAAUAAAUUCUGUACUACGAAAAACUAUAAGGAAGUAGAGAUAUAAACAAACAACAAGCCUGGGGGAAAGCAGUCUAUGAACAGAAAAGGAAAUUGUCAAAUCUCUCAGAUGUUUUUUUUUUAUUUCUUGUAUUCAAAAGUAUAUGACAUAUAUAUUAUAUAUGACAUUCUAUAGUAAAACUUCAACAUCACUGAGCUAACUUAUUUUUGACUAAUCACUUAAUUCUAAAGAAGCACUAAUGUGCAAAAUGAGUGUUCAUCACACCCAUUGGCACCCUAUUUUCCUCUCUUGUGGAUGGUUUUCCUGGAGGUUCCUGUUUUGCAAUGUUAACAGUUUUGCAGACCCACAAUAAUUGCAAAGAAUGUUAACACAGCAAUUAUUUCUAAGGAAUCUGAACAUUUGCGCAAUUACAGCACUUGCAUUGAGUUAACACUUUUCUGUGUUUAUGCAGUCUUCAUUUAUAUUUCCUCCUAAUUAGCAAAAGCUCCAGUGAUGUGCUGAUUUGGAAUGGGUGCUCGAGGUAAAUAAAUGAAGCAUUACGAAAGGUUCAAGCCAGAUACAGUUAGUGGACCUGGAAGAAGCCUGUAAGCCUUUCAGAGUAUGCAAGUUAAGACGUUAACCUCUAUGAGAACAGGAUGCGUCUUAAUUCCCUUUACCUCUAUUCCUCUCCCUGAGGGAUGUGCUUUAGGUCCACAACAUCUUUGACAUGAAUUUGAUUUUAACCUUUCAGAUGGGUGCGUGGAUCAGCACGUUAAGAUUUCCAAAUUUACAACCGAGAGUCAAAAGACUCAAACAAGCAAAUGGCACUGCAAGCGAUGCUGAAAGCAUUACCAAUUCAUAUUCUUCUUAUCAUACAUUAUGGGCACUUGGAGAUGGGUGAAAACGUGGGCAUUAGCAGUCAUAUCUACCCUCCUCCACACUUUUGCUCCUCCUAAGAUGCUUCAUUCAGUUCAAAACUACCUGCUUUCUCUGACACGCUGCCUGACAUUAGCCGUCUUUGAGAGUCCUCUGCUUUCAUGUGUUUGGUAACACUAACAUUGCCUCCACCAUCGGCUGUGUCUGACUGCUGACUGGCAGGUCGACACAAGAAUGGCACUGCAUACCAUGUAUGUUGCAGAACUCUUCAGGGACUGCUUUGAGCACACAGACUGCUGGGAGCGCUGUCAAGACACGAGGCAUAAGGCACAAAGAAAAUGACCUUUGAGGCCAUUUCCCGACGCCUCAAUGCCUGGUUAUGCCUGGUUUCCCUAAGCUUCUGCCCUACUUGUGGGUCAUGGGAGAGUUCAGAUAGGCUCGUUAUGUGUUUAUGUCCUAUUAUUGACAAGUGAAUUUUUUAUUGUACAGUACUGUUUGCCUCAUGCUAUUCAAAACUGAUAAUAUUCUAAGCAUCUUUUGGCAACUGAUUUAAUCAAGAAUGAAAAUGUAUGCAAAUUGUCAUGUGAAAAUAAAAUAUUGUGCAAGUAAUGUGUCUUGUUUAUUGAUUAUCUUAGAUUGUUUCCUGAUUGUAGCAACUACUUCCAAUAACUCAGACGAUGAUAAUAAUAAUAAUAAUACAAAUGUUAAUGUGGGUUUAUUCCACAGUAAUUCCCUUAGUUGUUCAUUUUAAUUUGUAAUACCUGGAAAUUAAAUGGUCUUAAUAAGAUUGCAGAACCAAUGUCAACAGUAAAUCAAUUUGUUCCAAUGGGUUUGCAGUUCCCCUCAGUGUAUAGUCCUUACAAAUCAAGCAAAUUAAACAUGGAACAUAUGACUAUGUGCUUUUUUGUAAAUAAGCUAUUGAUUUUUUAUUAGGUUCUGUAGACUUCAGUGAAAUGUUAAGAUUUCAGAUGAAUUAGCUCACUUAAAAAGCAAUUUAUCCAAACUCAGAUCAAAUAUUCUGAUCGCAUAGUAGUAGUAGCAGUUGUAGUAUCACAAGUAGUGUAUGUGCUGUUGCUUUCUAAAGCAAACGAUUAAACAUGUUAAUGCUAGUUCCAUAUGACUGAGGAUUUUUGACUUACCUAGUUCCAAAAAUAUCUCCAAGGAUCUUAGUGGAAGAUUCUUCGUGUCAGCUGGAAAUCAUUGAAAAUACCAGAAAACACAUAUGAAGGACCACAUUCAUGAGAUAGCAUAUCUUCUGACUCAAAGGACAGACACCUUUAUCACGCUAUUAUUCAAACGUUUCCUCUCCAUCCACACGCACAAAAAGACAUCUACAAUGUUCAUAGUCUCCUGAGCCCAUUGUGUGAGCCGUACAUUCACAAAGGCUGGUGAAGCAUACAUCAAAGGCAACAACAAAUGGAGCUUGCAGAUAAGUCUUUUUGUGUUAUGAUUGUCCAUAAUACAAUGUCAUUACAAAGAGUGCAUGGAUAGGAUUUUUUUGCGCAGAGGUCAAUAUUUUAGCUUGUGUGUCCACCUGAUUUAUCCUAUACUGCUUUAGCUCAUUUUCAUUUAUACUUUCAUAUAUUAACAUCACUGUUGCACAGUAAAACACUGAUAUAUUUACUCCCUUUAAAAUCACAAACUGAAUUAGUAACAUUCUGCAACAGGAACAAAUCUGUAUCAUUAAAGAGAGCAUUAAAAAAUUGUGUCUUUGUGUUUGCCCUUUUGUUCUGCAUCUUUAGAGAUUUCUGUUACUAAAGGGACUCGAUUUUGUGGU